GCACCUGAGGUUGAGGACCAGCAUGCACCUGGUUGGGCCUGUGUUGUUUUGUUUUUUUUUUACCAGUGCAAAGGAGGCGCGAGCAGCCAUGAUUUUCUUUGUUCUUUUAUUUGUUUUAUUAGUUUUGAAAUUAAUGCACGACGAAACGCAAGAUCUGACAUGGACAUUCAUCUUCUUUUGCCGGCGUUACACCACAUUACCAUGCCGUGCGUGCAGCUCAGCACCUGUGUUGUGAACUUAGGGGCUGAACCCAAAUAAGAAAAAAGCAUCUCCAGUCCAGAAGUCCACUUAGGGUCUUGUAUUUGUCUCGGCCGGCCCGGACGUUCUCGCUGUGAAGGAGGUCGUUCUGGGUGUUCUUGGAUUCAUCACGUGCCUGAGCCAGCUCUGAAGUCAAGGCCUGAGGGAAGAGAUAAAGUAGAGGCAUGAGCCUGGCGGGCCAGCUCCUCUUUAGCCAGCAGAGCAGCCUGACGCUCUGCCUCCAGACGAGCUGCCUCCUCCUCCGCUCUCCUCCGCUCCUGCUCCAGCAUCAGGGCUCUCUGGAGCUGGUCCUGCAGAUCUAAAAAUGAAGAGCUGGGCCCUGCAGAUAAGACACAGCCGUGGUGAGCCAACAAAGAGAGCUGACAUGGUUGAUCCAUAGUUAUGGCCAACAAACAACAGUCAGUUGUUUGUUGACCCCCCUCCCCUCACACACAAGCCCAGAUCAACCACAUGGAUGCACAAGCUGCUCUAUUAACGGCAUUCAAAAAAUAAAAUCGUCUCUGCAUCUGUCAUGGUCACACAUAGUAUACUGACUUUCAAGGAAAAUAUUCUUUAUUGCACAUGAUGUCUAUUCGCAGGUGAUGGCUUACAAUCUGAAGUUGCACCACAUUUACAAGCAACAAAAUACCCCUAAAUCAAAAGUGCCAGAAUGCUGUAAGAUGUGAGUGCAGUCAGUUUUAACUAGUAACUAAAACAUUAAGUCAUCAUGGAUUAACUGAUUAAUUGUAUGGUCAAUAAAAUGUCAGAAAAUAGUGAAAACUA
Molecule: long non-coding RNA, 1020 nt
Organism: Scatophagus argus
Lineage: Eukaryota; Metazoa; Chordata; Actinopteri; Scatophagidae
Exons: 5
Source: RefSeq, a predicted model, not a curated record